RNAcentral lists this long non-coding RNA (2896 nucleotides) under Canis lupus familiaris (dog). Its description in RNAcentral is "lncRNA (ENSCAFG00000054134.1)". The record is from RNAcentral. Lineage: Eukaryota; Metazoa; Chordata; Mammalia; Carnivora; Canidae.
CAUCUUUAGUUUUUUUUCAGCAUUAGUUUCCAUGCUGCAUGUAAAGGAACUAGCUUUUCAUUCAGACCUCAAGAUUCCAAUGAUAAGGCCCCAAGCCAUUUUUACAGCUUCCUCUUUUCCCCACUACUUUACCUCCAAAGAAAUUGGGCUAAACCCUACCAGAGUUUCUCCAUUUCUGAAUUUAUGCUCUUCCUCUGAGUAUCCUUUAAGACCUGUCAUGAACCUCUUACCUUCCAGGAAACCUCCACCAAUUUCCCAAAGCUCAUUGAUCUCCCCCACACUGAACUUGAUCCCUAUUUUAAGGCUCUUGUUGUUAAACUUCCUUGUAGAUGAGUUACUUGUGUUCUUGUCCCAUGUCCCAUUUCUUCAGGUGGAGUGUGUGGCUUAGCCAUCCCUUCACUCCCUGCACAACACCUUUCUUAAACAGCCUAGCUCUGUGCCUUCCCAGGUAUGUAUGUUGUGAGGUGAUAUGUCAUAGAUAUCAAAUGUUAAUCAGGGAAGGAACCUUAGAGUUAACUAGUAUCACCUUUUCGUUUUAUAGAUGAGACAGAGAGAUGUACAGAAGCCAGCCACCCAAGGUCACUGGUGAGAUGGGAAUCUCAUCAGGUGACCUGAUUCCCUGUAAAUUAUCACCUUCUAAAACGUGAAGGGGUACAUGAUGUCAAGGGAGAAUAUUUUGGCAUUGUGAAACUAUAUGAAUUGUUUAUAUGUUGAUGGGAAUAAUAGAGCAGAGAGGGGAACAUUGAUGAUACAAUAAUUGCAGGAAGGAAAUUGUUGAGUAUGUGAGAGGGGAUGGGAUCCAGUCCAGGACUCAAAAAAAUAGACCCAUCAGACAGUAGGGGACACUGAGUACAUGGCUAGGUUGUAGGUAUAUUGAUAGAUAUCAAGAGAAAGUGGAAAUUUUUUUUCUGAGCUUUCCUGGUUUUUCUUUUGAAUAAAAGAUAGGGUUUUCAGCUGAAAAUGAGGAGGAAGGAAAAGGUGUUGGAGGUGUGAAGUGAGAAGAGAUAAAAGUCGUCUAGGGGAGUGGGAAAAGGAGUCAAUGACAGAAUUACAGCAUGAUUAUGGGCAGCACUAACUACUUGAGGUUUAUGGUCAAGCAGUGUUUUCCAGUGGAGAUGUUAUUGGCCUUUUGAGCAGGCCUGUCACUUGAGCAUUUAGUAUCCCUGGCACUUACAUCCCUCAAUGAUUGUGAUGAUCAAGAAAUGGUCCCUGUCGCAUUUCCAAAUACCCCCUAGGGGCUCUGAACUGUUUAUAAUUGAGAAGAACUGGGAUACCAGUCACAAGGGGGUAUGCUUUUCUUUGGUCACAUUCAGCUCCUCAGGUGCUGGGAGGAAGAAGGAGGAGAUCUGAAUUUAGGAGUUUUCGGCUGUGACAGACAAGAACAGGCAAGAGUGAAAGGCAGGAGUAUUGAGGGUAUAUGUAAUAGAGUGAUGAUAACAGUAAGAUUUUCUAAACAACAAAUACCUGCUACUGACUCGAAGCAACUCAGGAGCGCCACAUUGGUGGAGGAUUUCUGGCUACAUUCAGGGACAGUUGAACAUGUAUCCAUUUUCUGGCUAUUAUGAAUAGAGCACUAUGAACAUGAUUAUACAUAUUUUUGGGUGGACAUACACAUUCAUUUCUCUUGAGAACAUAGCCAGGAUGGACUUGAUGGGUCACAGGGCAUACGUGCAUUUAGCUCUAUUAAAAACUACUGCUCAUUCAUUUAAAAGUUACGUAUAUAGCUACCUUUGACUCAGCCAUUCCAUCCAAGUAUUUAUCCAAGAGAAAAUAAGGCAUAUAUCCACACAAAGACUUGUACAUUACUAUUGAUAGCAGCUUUAUUUGUAAUAACAAAGAAUUGGAAAUGACACAGAUGUUCAUCUACAGGUGAAUAGGUCAACAAAUGGAACUACAGCCAUACAAUGGAAUACUACUCAGCAAUAAAAAAGUAUCAAUAGACACAUAAACAUGGAUGAAUUAUAAAUAAUUACUUGAGUAAAAGAAGCUAAAUACAAAAUACAUACUGUAUGAUUCCAUGAAUAUAAAAUCCUAGAAAAGACAAACUAAUCUAUAGUGAUAGAAAGCAGAUUAGUGGUUGCCUGCAGAUGAAGUGGUGAAGAAUAGAGAGAAGGGAUGGACUCCAAAAGGCUUGAGGAAACUUCUGGGGGUGGUGGAUGUGUUUAUGUUCUUGACUAUGGUAAUUACUUCAUGGGUGCAUACAUAUGUCAAAUUUAUCAAAUUAUACACAUUAAAAAUAUGCAGUGUAUUGUACAUGAAUUAUACCUCAAAGCUAAAAAAUUAAAAGCCUACUGAACAGUUUUCCAAAGUGGUUUAACCAAUUUAGCCAUCAGUAAAGUAUGAGAAUUCUAGUUUUCUAUCACACUUGGUCUUAAACAGUCUUUUUAAUUUUGGUGGUAGUGUGUUAUUGCAUUAUGGUUCAUUUGCAUUUUCCUGAUCAAAUGACAUUGAGCACCUUUUCAUAUGCAUAUUGUCAUUUGAAUAUCCUCUUUUGUUAAAUGCCUAUUUCAAGUGUUUUCCCAUUUUCCUGUGGGAUUCUUAGUCUUUUUAUUUUGAUUUGUAGUUUUUUUUAUAUAUUCUGGAUGAGGUUCUUAUCAUGAUGGGGGAGAAGAGGUUGUCUUCCAGUGUGUCACUUGCCUUUUCACUCUCUGAAUGUUGUCUUUUGAUGAAUAUUUCAUAAUUUUAAUGAAAAAUCCAAUUUAUUAAGUUUUUCUCUUGUUUUAAAUGCUUUUUAUAUCUUGUUUUAAAAAUGUUUGCCUCCCUAAAGUUACAGAGAUAUCUCUUGUAUUUCUUUUCUACGACCUUAUCGCUUUAAUAAUCAUACAUAGGCCUAUGUGUUAAAAAAUUUUUUUUUGGUAUACUGUGAAACAGAGUGUGAAAUAAAGGAUCAAUGAAC